UCACAACUGAUGCUCUCCAGUGAACUCCUGCAGCCUUCUUGAGCACCCCCUCACACCCAGCCCCUCACCUGGGCUCUCACCUUUCAUGCCACAGUAGCAGUGAUGGGAAACAACCCCACUUUGUGCACACCUGCAUGCACAGACACAUUUUAUAUCACUUGAGCUUUGGAGCUUGACUCUCUAAAUCAUUUGUGUCUGCAACACCAUUGCAGGGUAUCACUCACUUGGAAAAUCCACCUAACUGCCUCAAUACAUUUUAGGGGCCUUAUUUCAGUUUUGAAGAUGGGAUCCAUAUCCCUAAUUUACUUUACAGCUUUUGAAAAUUAAAUACUAAAGAAUGUGACAUUCUACAGGAGAGACCGUCUAAAGUUUAGGGAUGAAAAGUGUCCUUUAGGGCUGUAAUGUAUUUUGCCAUUACUGCAUUACUGCUCAGGGAAUAAUACUAAGGAUGAUAGAGAGCAACUUGACAGGAUUCAUUAAGGCAGAGACAGCAAGUGUAUGCUGUGAGGCACAGGACUCUGCACAAGUCUGCCUAUGCAGAGCAAACUGCUCUGAUUUUUACUAACUGUGAUUUAUGAGUUUGUUUUUGUGGUUUUGUCUUUUUUUCUUUUUUUUUUCCCCGUGCUAAAAGAUGAACCUCAAAAGCACAACACUCAGAGUGCUCAUAACAAAGGUGCCCUGUUGAACACAGCAAGUAGCACAACAUUGUACAGCAUGACUAUGACAGCAAAGGCCCUGAGCCCACACUGCUGAGUUAGUGGCAGGAUUGUCAGCAUGUGGAAAACCAAAACUCACAGACAACACACAUUCACUCUUUGAUAUGCAGAACUUUUAGACUUCACUACAAGUGAUUUUUCUCAACCUGACAUCAACUAAAUGGUAUAGAAAAGGAAAUGCAGCAGAUACACCACAGGAUUGCACAGAUCUCCUAGACUGAGUUACAGCUGAGACUGCAGUUCAACAAAAUAAUGACUGCAACAUUGCCUUGUAGCAAACCACAGUUAUCUUGCCAGCAUCUCAUCUCAUCUCAUCUCCCUGGAUGUCUUGCACCUUUGACACAGCUCAUAAUGAGUAGGGAAUACUUCAUUCUAAGGCUGUUGCUUCGCUUCAAUGUGCACAUUCAAAGUCCUUGUGAAAGACAACUACUCCAGCCAUUAGGAUACUGGAGUCUGCAUAAAGUCAAAAUCCAGGUAUAAAUCUUAUCACUUUCUACAAACAGCAGCAAAGUAUAUUGAAUUUUGAGUCCCAGAUACAAUUCCCUUAUGAAUUUCUGCCUAGCUUCUUUCAAAUGCUCCCAUGCGUCCCAUACAGACACUUUGUAGCUUCUUUGACUUUUAGUUAAUGUUUAGCUGCUUACCUACUAAGAUGUUUUUCAUGUUUCUACAAAAAAUGAGCAUCACAAUAAAUACUGGUAUUCCACAGGCUGUUACUUCACUGUGUACAAUGUAUUUUAUUAGGUGAAAUAUUCUCCUAAGACAGCAGUAUUGGAGGAGUAUUAGCAGGAAAUUUUCCUAACACCCCAAGAUCUACUUAUGAUCAUUGUUCAGUUAUCUUCAGGAUUGCACUUUGUUGACAGCAACAGGAGAAGAAUUGCCAGAAAGAUGUUUCAUAAGGUUCUCAUCCAAAACUUCAGACAAAUUGGAAUGUUAGCAGGGAAGGCACUUCUGGGCCUUUGUUGCGAGAAAAAUUAAACACUGCAGUUACAAGGCCAGGGAUGUGACAGAAUCCCCAUCACUGGAUUUUCGAGACCUGAGUGAACAGGGUGCUGGAUCAUGUCAUCUAGGCUGAGUAGAACAGAUGUCCACUCAAGGUCCCUUCCAGCCUGGGUUAUUCUGGGUUAUUAUUUGAGCUUCUCCACUUAUCUCACUGGCAGUGCAGGUAAGGAGUGACAUAUAUAAAUAUCAAGGCUGACACUGAUCCCUUGAUAUUUAAAAAACACAGAGGAUUUUUUUAAGAAGACAAAAUAUAGUCAGCAACUGACAAUAAAUCAUGUUUUAGAUUACAUUAUUAUAUCUGUGGAAAGAGCUGCCAAAAAGAAGAUAAUAACAUACACCAUGAGAGAAAGGAAAAAACCUCUCAUUGGUGUAAGCACAAUUUAGACAAGUAUUAGAAGAAAACCCUUUUGAAUGGUGUGGAAUGACAAGCAAUGAAAUGCAUUAU
Taeniopygia guttata (zebra finch) is the source of this 2160-nucleotide non-coding RNA. NCBI's taxonomy places the organism in Eukaryota, Metazoa, Chordata, Aves, Passeriformes, Estrildidae. The record is from RefSeq and is a predicted model, not a curated record.